CGGUUGACUGAUUGUACCCGCCAGCUGGCUAAUAUCAUAAUUAACAAAGUUGCUACUACAUCUGCAAAGUUUAAUCGAAAAAUUUGCCAGUGAUAUGAUGGCAUUGUCACAAAGAUCACAAGGGACACGGAGUUGACUUUUGCUCAAGGUGGAAUGGCAAAGCUGUAUAGGCAAGACAAGAAAUUGUGAACUUGUUCAGCCAAAGGUUAUGCUUCAUAUCACCCACCGGGGAGGAUCAUCUCUCAUGAAAACUUUCAAAUUUGAUUUUGAAAAUUAUUCAGAAAAAUUUAAGCCACACUGUCUCCCAAUAUAGGAAAGAAUAUACUCUGGAGGUUCCUAUAAUUCAAAGAAAAUGGACUAGGAUAACAUUUGGGUUCUCGUGCUACCAAAAUCCUCUUGAGAAGGAUAGCCAGUGUCGGAACAGGACUCGUCACCUUGGACGUCGGAGGGCCCCUUCAUUGUCUCUGUUUGUGGUUACAGCGUUUGCCUAUUCCUUGUGCUAUUUCUAUUUUUGUCAUUGGAGUCCAUGAAGACUUAAUCAUCAGCCCUCUCUAAUUUUCCGGAAAGAAAAAAGAAAAAGGAAAUAUGUUGAUUUAUUGAACUGGCUGCAGAAAGAAGAAGAGGAAGAAGAAGGAGAAGGAGAAGAAGAUCAAUCUGCCAUUGAGGCUAAUAACGUGCGGCCGGGAAGGAGGCCGCGCUCCCAGGGUUAUCUCGCCGCCUCAGAUGCCGGGAAGCCCAAGGAGCCCAGCCGCUUCUGGACGACGUUCAGCAAGGCCGCAGUGAUCCCUGCGCGGAGAAGAGCCUGCCUGCUCUUUUCCAAGGUAAACAGCCCAUUUCCUCCGUCGGCUGCAUGGUUCGGUCCGAGAAUAUGUUUCUGUGAAGAUCUCUAUAAAGUUUGCCUCCGAAAACAUCGUUUUAGGUGCUGGACACCCCCGCCUGGCCGAGCCCGGGCCCCAAGGAGGUGCCAGGCUCACUUCGCAUCACGGGAAACGAACUGCCCAGGAGUCCGCGGAAGAUGGGCGAGCGGAGCCCGUGCUGCCCGGUGCGGGUCGGGCUCCACGCCGGGACGGCUGCAGCCCACGGAGGCUUCGCUUAGGAUAAUCACGUUCUCUCCUAGGAGCCCGCGGCCUGGAGCGCCGGGGCUCGCCGAAGGGCGCUCGCAGCAGCGCCGGCAGGUGCACAGGUUCCCGGUUGUUACUUCCCGUGCCUAACCCUACGUUCGCAAAUAGGCAGAAGGCGAUUCGGGCGCUCGCUCUGUGUGUCUGUGUGUCCCGCUGUGAGUGCACGUCCACUCCCGUGUCUGUGUACGUCUGUGCCCCCGUUCCUGUCUUCAAUCCCUCGUGCACGUCCCUCCCCCCGGUCGGUUGGUCCGUCGGUCGGUCGGGGAGGUUUGGCCAGCCAGCGCCUGCUCAGAUGUGGUCCCAGGCUCUCAUUUGAUUUUUGGCCCGGGACAAAAAGAACGUGUCACAUCGUGAUGAAUGGUCAAUCUGAAUUUUCAAUUCAUCUGAAAGGAGGAGGGGGAGGAGGAUAUGAGCCUGCUGAUGAGACGAACCUUUUCCCUUUGGGAAGAGCAGGAUUCAAAUUAAACAUCACUUUCGGUGUGAAAUGAGUCUGGAGGCUUCUUGUCUCCGCCCCCCCCCCCCUUUAACUCCUUGGUGGCCACUCCUUCGGAGAGGACCCUUCGUGGCCAGGUCCAUCCCCAGUAGGCCUCAGCUCCUCUUCUUUUGUUUUAUUUUCUCUCAAGACUGGGUCCAAGAAACUAAGAAACACACACACACACACACACACACACACACACAGUGGAUGUCUUACUAUUUUAAAAGUGAUAUGAUUUUCCCCAAGAUGUGUUAUUCCCUUGCGUCCCAAACUAAUGUUUCCAACAAGUACAAAUAAACCAACAAACCAAUAAGUCA
RNAcentral lists this long non-coding RNA (1913 nucleotides) under Vulpes vulpes (red fox). RNAcentral's name for it is "lncRNA (ENSVVUG00000018732.1)". The stretch from base 2 to 204 matches the Rfam family "Rhabdomyosarcoma 2 associated transcript conserved region 6". The record is from RNAcentral. Lineage: Eukaryota; Metazoa; Chordata; Mammalia; Carnivora; Canidae.